RNAcentral lists this ribosomal RNA (520 nucleotides) under uncultured Glomus. Its description in RNAcentral is "SSU rRNA". It matches the Rfam family "Eukaryotic small subunit ribosomal RNA", at positions 569 to 1089 of the family's 1831-position model. Lineage: Eukaryota; Fungi; Glomeromycota; Glomeromycetes; Glomerales; Glomeraceae. The record is from RNAcentral.
AGCAGCCGCGGUAAUUCCAGCUCCAAUAGCGUAUAUUAAAGUUGUUGCAGUUAAAAAGCUCGUAGUUGAAUUUCGAGACCGGCUUACUGGUCGUGCUAUUGUACGUACUGGUAUAAUCGGUUUCUCCUUUCUGACGAACUAUAAUGCCAUUAAUUUGGUGUUAUAGGGAAUCAGGACUGUUACUUUGAAAAAAUUUAGAGUGUUUAAAGCAGGCUCACGCUUGAAUGCAUUAGCAUGGAAUAACGGAAUAGGACGUUUGAUUCUAUUUUGUUGGUUUCUAGGAUCGACGUAAUGAUUAAUAGGGAUAGUUGGGGGCAUUAGUAUUCAAUUGUCAGAGGUGAAAUUCUUGGAUUUAUUGAAGACUAACUACUGCGAAAGCAUUUGCCAAGGAUGUUUUCAUUAAUCAAGAACGAAAGUUAGGGGAUCGAAGACGAUCAGAUACCGUCGUAGUCUUAACCAUAAACUAUGCCGACUAGGGAUCGGAUGAUGUUAAUUUUUUCAAUGACUCAUUCGGCGCCUU